RNAcentral lists this transfer RNA (94 nucleotides) under Burkholderia ubonensis. Its description in RNAcentral is "tRNA-Ser". It matches the Rfam family "tRNA". From Rfam's summary of the family: Transfer RNA (tRNA) molecules are approximately 80 nucleotides in length. Their secondary structure includes four short double-helical elements and three loops (D, anti-codon, and T loops). The record is from RNAcentral. Lineage: Bacteria; Pseudomonadati; Pseudomonadota; Betaproteobacteria; Burkholderiales; Burkholderiaceae.
GGAAACGUGGCCGAGCGGCUGAAGGCACGUCCCUGCUAAGGACGCAUGUGGGCUUAAACCUGCAUCUAGGGUUCGAAUCCCUCCGUUUCCGCCA